CCUACGGGAGGCAGCAGUGGGGAAUUUUGGACAAUGGGCGCAAGCCUGAUCCAGCAAUGCCGCGUGCAGGAUGAAGGCCUUCGGGUUGUAAACUGCUUUUGUACGGAACGAAACGGUGAGCUCUAAUACAGUUUGCUAAUGACGGUACCGUAAGAAUAAGCACCGGCUAACUACGUGCCAGCAGCCGCGGUAAUACGUAGGGUGCGAGCGUUAAUCGGAAUUACUGGGCGUAAAGCGUGCGCAGGCGGUGAUGUAAGACAGAUGUGAAAUCCCCGGGCUCAACCUGGGACCUGCAUUUGUGACUGCAUCGCUAGAGUACGGUAGAGGGGGAUGGAAUUCCGCGUGUAGCAGUGAAAUGCGUAGAUAUGCGGAGGAACACCGAUGGCGAAGGCAAUCCCCUGGACCUGUACUGACGCUCAUGCACGAAAGCGUGGGGAGCAAACAGGAUUAGAUACCCUGGUAGUCCACGCCCUAAACGAUGUCAACUGGUUGUUGGGUCUUCACUGACUCAGUAACGAAGCUAACGCGUGAAGUUGACCGCCUGGGGAGUACGGCCGCAAGGUUGAAACGUCAAAUGAAUUGACGG
RNAcentral lists this ribosomal RNA (586 nucleotides) under uncultured bacterium. RNAcentral's name for it is "bacterial SSU rRNA". It matches the Rfam family "Bacterial small subunit ribosomal RNA", at positions 338 to 916 of the family's 1533-position model. The record is from RNAcentral.